UAAAACAGCCAUAUUACCCAGCAGCCCAAGACCAAUUACUCACUGGAGCUAAGCACUGUAAGCAGGGCUGAGCCUUGUCAGUAACUGGAUGGGAGACCACAUGGGAAAACUAGGUUGAAAGUGGUGUUAG
Molecule: ribosomal RNA, 130 nt
Filed under: Danio rerio (zebrafish)
Lineage: Eukaryota; Metazoa; Chordata; Actinopteri; Cypriniformes; Danionidae
Source: RNAcentral